Molecule: transfer RNA, 74 nt
Filed under: Magnetovirga frankeli
Lineage: Bacteria; Pseudomonadati; Pseudomonadota; Gammaproteobacteria; Chromatiales; Sedimenticolaceae
Description: gamma proteobacterium SS-5 tRNA-Gly
Rfam family: tRNA
About the family: Transfer RNA (tRNA) molecules are approximately 80 nucleotides in length. Their secondary structure includes four short double-helical elements and three loops (D, anti-codon, and T loops).
Source: RNAcentral
GCGGGUAUCGUAUAUCGGUAUUACCCUGGCUUCCCAAGCCAGAGAGGCGGGUUCGACUCCCGCUACCCGCUCCA